GGCCAGACUCCUACGGGAGGCAGCAGUGGGGAAUAUUGCACAAUGGGCGAAAGCCUGAUGCAGCAACGCCGCGUGAAGGAAGAAGGGUUUCGGCUCGUAAACUUCUAUCAACAGGGACGAAAGAAAUGACGGUACCUGAAUAAGAAGCCCCGGCUAACUACGUGCCAGCAGCCGCGGUAAUACGUAGGGGGCAAGCGUUAUCCGGAUUUACUGGGUGUAAAGGGAGCGUAGACGGCAUGGCAAGUCUGAUGUGAAAACCCGGGGCUCAACCCCGGGACUGCAUUGGAAACUGUCAGGCUAGAGUGUCGGAGAGGCAAGUGGAAUUCCUAGUGUAGCGGUGAAAUGCGUAGAUAUUAGGAGGAACACCAGUGGCGAAGGCGGCUUGCUGGACGAUGACUGACGUUGAGGCUCGAAAGCGUGGGGAGCAAACAGGAUUAGAUACCCCCGUAC
RNAcentral lists this ribosomal RNA (450 nucleotides) under uncultured bacterium. RNAcentral describes it as "partial 16S ribosomal RNA". It matches the Rfam family "Bacterial small subunit ribosomal RNA", at positions 329 to 793 of the family's 1533-position model. The record is from RNAcentral.